UUGUAUAAUGGGAAGCCAUAAGAAGGAAAGGUUAUGCGCAUGGUCAGUAGCACGUGGUACAACUGUAAGGGGCCAAUAUGGCUGAAGGAGGAUAACCACGAGAAAAGAAGCGAAUGAAAAUGUGUAAAGCGCUCAAUAAAGGUUUUGAACCCUUGGACACUAAUAGAGAUAUGAAGGUAUUUACUCAACGGCGGUGUGGUGGUAAAAAUGUUACUAGCAGUAAAGAAUACUCUUUAGAUGUUUCUAGAGGUACAGAAUUCAUCUCAAAUUGACUAGUAGGAGCUACACUUGUUGAUAAAAGGUCGUCGCGAAGACUGACUCCAUUCUGGAAUAUAAUGGGCAUGCAAUUCAAUCAAUCUUUGCAGAAAUAAAGACUACUAUUAUAUCAGUUUAUUUACAAAAUCUUUUAUUAAUAACAUAUUUUGCUGUUUUACAAAUGACCUUUUGUUAUCAUUGUUAUCACAA
This 465-nucleotide long non-coding RNA is filed under the name Amphimedon queenslandica. RNAcentral describes it as "uncharacterized LOC109588848". The record is from RNAcentral. Lineage: Eukaryota; Metazoa; Porifera; Demospongiae; Haplosclerida; Niphatidae.